CGGACCUGAUUGCUAUCGGAUUGAUACUAAGCCAUGCGAGUCAUUGUAGUAAUACAAGGCAGACGGCUCAGUAACGCGUAGUCAACCUACCCUAUGGACGGGAAUAACCUCGGGAAACUGAGUAUAAUGCCCGAUAGAACACUAUUCCUGGAAUGGUUUGUGUUCCAAAUGAUUUAUCGCCGUAGGAUGGGACUGCGGCCUAUCAGUUUGUUGGUGAGGUAAUGGCCCACCAAGACUAUUACAGGUACGGGCUCUGAGAGGAGUAGCCCGGAGAUGGGUACUGAGACACGGACCCAGGCCCUAUGGGGCGCAGCAGGCGAGAAAACUUUGCAAUGUGCGAAAGCACGACGAGGUUAAUCCGAGUGGUUUGUGCUAAACGAACCUUUUGACAGUCCUAGAAACACUGUUGAAUAAGGGGUGGGCAAGUUCUGGUGUCAGCCGCCGCGGUAAAACCAGCACCUCAAGUGGUCAGGAUGAUUAUUGGGCCUAAAGCAUCCGUAGCCGGCUCUGUAAGUUUUCGGUUAAAUCUGUACGCUCAACGUACAGGCUGCCGGGAAUACUGCAGAGCUAGGGAGUGGGAGAGGUAGACGGUACUCGGUAGGAAGGGGUAAAAUCCUUUGAUCUAUUGAUGACCACCUGUGGCGAAGGCGGUCUACCAGAACACGUCCGACGGUGAGGGAUGAAAGCUGGGGGAGCAAACCGGAUUAGAUACCCGGGUAGUCCCAGCUGUAAACUAUGCAAACUCAGUGAUGCAUUGGCUUGUGGCCAAUGCAGUGCUGCAGGGAAGCCGUUAAGUUUGCCGCCUGGGAAGUACGUACGCAAGUAUGAAACUUAAAGGAAUUGGCGGGG
RNAcentral lists this ribosomal RNA (849 nucleotides) under uncultured archaeon. RNAcentral describes it as "bacterial SSU rRNA". It matches the Rfam family "Archaeal small subunit ribosomal RNA", at positions 18 to 873 of the family's 1478-position model. The record is from RNAcentral.